GAGGGUAUAGCGCAAGUGGUAGAGUGCAUGCCUAGCACGCACGGAGGUCCUGGGUUCAAUCCCCAGUACCUCCA
RNAcentral lists this transfer RNA (74 nucleotides) under Camelus bactrianus (Bactrian camel). It matches the Rfam family "tRNA". Rfam says of the family: Transfer RNA (tRNA) molecules are approximately 80 nucleotides in length. Their secondary structure includes four short double-helical elements and three loops (D, anti-codon, and T loops). The record is from Rfam by way of RNAcentral. RNAcentral also lists the same sequence under 1 other name. Lineage: Eukaryota; Metazoa; Chordata; Mammalia; Artiodactyla; Camelidae.